Molecule: long non-coding RNA, 361 nt
Filed under: Mus musculus (house mouse)
Lineage: Eukaryota; Metazoa; Chordata; Mammalia; Rodentia; Muridae
Description: predicted gene, 48719
Source: RNAcentral
AGAGCAAGCUGUGGAGUCUGCAGUCUGUCCAGAGAACAAGGAGUAGCAGGGUGCUCGGAGGGCUGGAUCUGGGUCCACAGAAGGCGAUGUCUCUCCUAUCUGUCAGACUGCUCUCUGAUUCAGGCCAGAAUACAGGGUGUGAAUAAAAUACUGUAAACUCAUGUGUUGGUGCCCUAUCAUCUGCAAAUGAAAAAGAAACAGUAAGAAAAGAACAAUGGUUUACACUUCAAUGUGAAGUAAACGUCUUCCAGACAGAAUAGAUAACAACCCAUCAAAAACCAUAAGCCCCCCAGGUGACGUCUGGAUUCAGCCUCCGGAGAUAUGCUUUUGUAUAAUCCACAUACUUCAAAUUCAACAUACA